UACGGAGGGUGCAAGCGUUAUCCGGAUUCACUGGGUUUAAAGGGUGCGUAGGUGGGCAAGUAAGUCAGUGGUGAAAUCUCCGGGCUUAACCCGGAAACUGCCAUUGAUACUAUUUGUCUUGAAUACUGUGGAGGUCAGCGGAAUAUGUCAUGUAGCGGUGGAAUGCUUAGAUAUGACAUAGAACACCAAUUGCGAAGGCAGCUUACUACACAGUCAUUGACGCUGAGGCACGAAAGCGUGGGGAUCAAACAGG
RNAcentral lists this ribosomal RNA (253 nucleotides) under uncultured bacterium. Its description in RNAcentral is "partial 16S ribosomal RNA". It matches the Rfam family "Bacterial small subunit ribosomal RNA", at positions 524 to 776 of the family's 1533-position model. The record is from RNAcentral.